Molecule: ribosomal RNA, 207 nt
Filed under: Sclerotiniaceae sp.
Lineage: Eukaryota; Fungi; Ascomycota; Leotiomycetes; Helotiales; Sclerotiniaceae
Description: partial small subunit ribosomal RNA
Rfam family: Eukaryotic small subunit ribosomal RNA
Source: RNAcentral
AACGAGACCUUAACCUGCUAAAUAGUCCGGCCGGCUUUUGCUGGUCGCAGACUACACAGAGGGACUGUCAGCGUCUAGCUGACGGAAGUUUGAGGCAAUAACAGGUCUGUGAUGCCCUUAGAUGUUCUGGGCCGCACGCGCGCUACCCCGACAGAGCCAGCGAGUUCUCACCUUGGCCCUUUCUUCUGGGUAAUCUUGUGAAACUCU